RNAcentral lists this long non-coding RNA (6850 nucleotides) under Setaria italica (foxtail millet). Its description in RNAcentral is "long non-coding RNA (SITA_LNC000018)". Lineage: Eukaryota; Viridiplantae; Streptophyta; Magnoliopsida; Poales; Poaceae. The record is from RNAcentral.
CACUUAAAUUUUAAAAAAACGUCGGUGUGUUUUCUCUAAGAAGAGGCUAAAUUGUCCUACAAUAUGUGCAAGCAAACUUUCAACCUAAAAAUGUUACUAUAAACAAAUCAACUUUGAGUAUUUUUUGCAUGAAAUUUCACCUUUAUAAUGGAUAGAUAGACCAUCCAAAGUUGAGUAAAAUUUGUUACUAAGCGACCAGUAUCCGUAAAACAAAUGGUAAGCUUCACCUUUAUAAUGGCUUUACUUUUCUGUUUGCAGUUUGGGGCUAGCUAUCCUUCUUUUUCUCUAUCUAUUUUUGAGGUGAGCAAGCAUCAAACAUUCUAGAUAUGGACGAGCUAUCUUCAAGCAAGUUGCCCUUGCUCUGAUAUGGAAUCUGCGCGCGGGAUGGCCACUCUAUCAUGAUCCAUGCAUUUAUCCCAAACCACACGUGAACCACUGAAAUUUUGAAGGAACAAAACCUUUAGCAUAUAUUGGUGUGGUCCUAUGCAGUCGAUUUAUAAAUUUCUGUAUGAUAUAUCAAACACCCUUGUCUAUGUACAUCUUGUAGUUAGAUGACUCCGUGAAAUGUUUCUAUACAUGUACAUUGAUGCAUUGAUCUGUGAUAUAUGCUUACAUGGAAAAAGGCCAAAAAUUUCUUGUAAAAUGGGAUUCAUUUGCUACAAAGGUUUUCAAUCAAAUAUGUGUGGAAGAAGUGAAUGCUAAAAACAGGCCGCAACACUAUCUGAAUAAUGUAGGAUAUGCAAAUUUGAUUAGAAAAUUUCAUGAAAGAACCAACAGAUUGUACACACAGAUGCAAAUAAAGAAUCGAUGGGAUGCACUAAAGAGGAUGUAUACACAGUGGAAGGCUUUGAAUCAAAGGGCCACUGGUUUGGGCAGGGAUCCUCACAGUGGAUGCAUUACUACUUACAAAUAUUGGCGGGAAAGGCAAAAUGCGGUGAGUGACAUUAAAGACACCUGCAAUUUAGUGCACAUAAAGCAUCACAAUCUUUCUUGUCUUAAGGAUCUAACUGUUCUCUCAUCUUUUCAGGCCAUGCCAGGUUGUAUCAUGUUUAAAGAUGCACACUUGAGCAUGAAGAGAUCUCCAAAUAAUAUUUGAUUCAAUUAUCUGUACAAAUGAGAGCUCAUUUGUACUAGGGAUGACUACUGGAGAUGAACCUACAGAACCUACCGGUGAAGGUGAGGGUGCUGUUGCAGGUGGUGAGGCUGAGGCCUCAAAGAUGGGUCAAAAGGUGAUGAUUUUGAGAACUAUGUUGAUGACAAUGAUGGUGAUGGUAGCACAAGCAUUGCGGAUGAUGGGAACCCUUCAUCAGAUGAUAGGGAUUCUAUUGCUAUGACUUUGGUAGCAUGAUUGGUUGUGUACUUUCUUUUGUAGUUUUCUUUUUUGGAGAGUAAAAUUGUCUGUAAUGUAAAAAAUUAAUGUAAUUAUGACCUUUUGUGCUUUAUUCAGCAACCAAACAAGUUAUUAUCAGCUUCAGGGGCAUACUUGUCAUUGUACACUCAGCGCAUAGAAUCUCCUGACAAAAAAUCAGGUUACCAAACUCCUAGCUUUUCUUACCAGUAAAUUCUAUGGACAUCAGCUUUUCAGGACAGUUUGAUUUCCAGAGAAUCGCUAUCAGAAAAGGUGAAUCAAACAGGGUCUAUGUGUCUUACACACUUUCUUUUGUCUCUUCAUGGAAUCUUAACUCCGCGUAAAAAUUGCAGCUGUAUAUUGUUAACAUGGGAGAGAAGAAACACGAUGAUCCAUCUGUGGUCACCGCUUCGCACCACGAUGCACUCGCAUCUAUUCUUGGAAGGUAGCCUGGCCUAAUAGUUAAACUUGAAGCUGCAACCAUGUUAACCGAAGCAGGUGUGAGUACUCACGUUUUGCUUCUUUUGUUCAUGUUAUUUACGCAACAGCAAGGAUGAAGCUGUGAAAUCCAUAGUUUAUAGUUACAGGCAUGGAUUUUCCAGGUUUGCAGCGAUGCUCACAGACUCCCAAGCCGAGACAAUCAUGAGUAAUAAUAAACAAACAUUUUUGAAAUGAAUGUUCAGGAGAGCUGUCGAUUAUAUUAAAUGACAACCGGUGAAACUAGAACCCUUGACGCAGGUUUACCUGGCGUUGUUAGUGUUGAACCGAUCACUCACUACCAAAUUGGAACAACUCGGAGCUGGGACUUUCUUGGCCUUGACGAUCACCAAUCGCCACCGUCAGGCCUCCUCAAGAAAACAAACUACGGGGAAGGCAUCAUCGUUGGGGUAGUUGACACAGGUUUUUUAUCGCAUUUCGUGCUCAUUUAGUUGAUAAACACAACUGAAAAUGUCAAGACUCAUUUCAUAGGCAUGGCGUGAUUGAUACAUGUAUUACAGGUAUAUGGCCUGAAUCACCAAGCUUUGACGACAGUGGAUACGGUCCGGUGCCAGCGAAGUGGAAAGGUGUGUGCCAGACCGGCGUGAAGUUCAACGCCACCAGCUGCAACCGGAAGAUCAUCGGCGCGCGGUGGUACACCGGCGGCCUCGACGCCAAGGAGCUCUCCGGAGAGUACAGGUCAGCCCGGGACACAGACCCGUACCUAAGUUUACGAGGCUCCGGCACGAAACACAAAAUGGUGGCCCUAUAUGACAGGAGGCACAGCAGAUCAUCCAGAUGAUGGACAUGGACUCACCGGUUUGUAGAAUGAUGCAGCGGUGCAGCCCCUGGGCAAACGCCGGACGGCAACGGGCAACUAGCAGCGGCGGCGCUACUGCGUCCGCAUUGCCGGCGUUGGCCUCGCCUCAGUGCAUAGAUGCCAAUUGAUGGAAUGUGAGGCGUCUCAGAUUCUCUCUCAGUUUUCUGAUGGACCUGACGUGGAAAACGAAAGACAAUUUGCUUGCUUAGUGGGCUAAUGAAGUAAUGAUGACAGCUUUGGGCGGCCCUCGAAUUCUGGCGGCCCGGCGCUGUCGCGCCGUUUGCUCCGCGUGAUGUACGGCGCUGCCGGGACACGACCGGCCACGGCACGUACGUGGCCUCCAUGAUCGCCGGCGGCGAGGUGCGGAACGUGAGCUUCGGCGGGCUGGCCGCCGGCGUGGCGCGCGGUGGGGCGCCGCGCGCUAGGCUGGCCGUCUACAAGGCAUGCUGGAGGACGCCGAGAGCCGACGUGUGCGACGGCGCCGCGCUCCUUUGAAUAACUGAUGAUCAUGGAUUAUCGAUUUCAGGGGCAAUCACGAUACGUCAAUAAUGCAACGGUGAAUAACAGCGACUUCUACACGCUUGUCUAAGCGGGAAGGUAAUGAAAUGAAUCAUUAGUAGUGGUAAUGAAGUGAAUCAUUAGUAGUGGCUUGUCUUAAUUUGCUUAGUAGAGAGGGAUCCCCGUCGUGUUCGUCGCCGGGAACAACGGCCCCGCCGCGCAGACGGUCCGGAACGCCGUGCCGUGGGUCUUGACGGUGGCAGCCAGCACCAUUGAUCGGUCCUUCCCGACCGUGGUGUCGCUUGGGAACAACGAGAAACUAGUGGUGAGUAGGAGAACUACUAGUAUAAUCUUUGAAGCACAUGUUAUUCUCUUGUUUAAUUCAACUGAUGAUCAUGAUUCAUGGAUUAUCGAUUUCAGGUGCAGUCACGAUACGUCGUGAAUUCAACGGUGAAUAACAGCGAUUUCUACACGCUUGUCUACACGCCUGUUUGUUAGGGAAUAGAUCCUAUACACUAUAUGCUAGUGUGCCACAAAAUUUCUACCACGUUUAACCACAAAAUCAUAUGUACUAGAAAUUUUGCGCGCCAAAUUAAGGUAUGGCCAGUGAGUUGAUAACUGCAAAAUGAACGAACAAUACCAUAGUAUAUCAUUACUAUCUUCCAUCUCCAAUUAUCAAAAUGAUAAUACAUAAAUCUUAUACUACAAACUUGUCGAGUAUGGAGAAAUUUAGAUCACAUUAGUUUAUUAGAUCAGUAAAGGAAAUAAGGUUAGAUAAACUGAAAAUUUUAUCACUUGGUCAGACGACAAAAAAUCAAAAAAAAUUGUGGACAUUGAGCGUGGAGCCAAAAAAUUGGGGCGCUUGAGCAGUGCCACCUCUCCCUUAUCUUCUGUCUCCCUCUUAUCUCUUUACUCAUCUUUAUCUCUUUCACCUGCUCUUUCAUCCUCACAUUUCUCUCUCUCUCUUAUCUCCAGGAGCUGCAGCAAACAAGGGCGGCGGACGGCAAGAGCCAUGACUGAGAGGCCGGCCCAAGGGAGCUAGGGCCACGAUGACCGGUGCGGCCGGCAGAUGGAGUGGCUGACACGGGCGGUGGCGCGAAGCGACGUAAGCAACAUCGCCGGGCGGCGGUGAGGCCUCAACAACCAGCAUUUUUUAUUUCCUAAAAAUAUCUUUGCUAGCGGGUUUCUUAAGCACCCGCCAGCCCAAAUCGUGGCUGCACUGGUGGGUAGAUGUUUGUCAGUAAAGAUGACUAUUUGUGCUGGCAGUGAAUUGCUGGUGGAUGGGUUUUGACUGCCACGCCAAAUGUUUUGUGGCAUAGUGCAAUCUGAUUCAUGGAUGCUGGUUUUGAUGUUAGCAUGCUUAAAGUAGGAUCCAAAUCACAAUGGAAGAAUGGUGUGGCAACAAUAAACAAAGAAAAAAGAAGGGUCUAUAACAACAAUAGCAGUUCGUGGUUUCAUUAAUUACACAGACAUACAUGUGAAGGUAGCAAACGAGUGAGAUUUGGCGAAAGACGUGCUUGGCUUACUUACCCUUUUCGUACAUGUGUGUAGUCAAUUUUUUUUUGGUUCAUAUAGCUGACAAUCCAGAUGGGUGCGAGAUAUCCAUGCAUCUUGACUCUCUCUCCAAUUAAUAUAUAUUUUUAACUCCAUUUCUCCUUUUUGUAUGUUAAGGCUUUUUUUACUGCUAUAUCUAAGGUCAGAUCUUUUCUCGUGUGCUGGAACGUUCCAGAUUCUUUCUUCGCUGGUGCGCUGCCAUCCAUUAAUUUAGAAUCUGACGGCUAAUAGUGCCUCCAUGGCAUAUACAUUUCCAGCUCGUCCAGCUAGAGUUCGGGGGUUGCAUCGUGACCUAGCUUGGGUUUCGGCAUGGUGGAAUUACAUAUGUGGUAGGCCGGUACCUCGCUGGUGGGCCUAUCAAAAUUACCCUAGCAAAUUUUUGAUUUUAUAAUAUCCAUUUAGCUAGUUUUAAAGGAGUUUUCCUAGAUUUGUGGUGACAUAAUAUAUCUAUUUAAACCAACUGUUGAAGAUAGUACGUACUGUUACGAGUUUAAUUAUUAGUUCUUGUCCCAGAAAAAAAUCCUCAUCUGUGACAGCUAUUCGCACGACCCAAAUUAAAAACCGGGGCAAAUAGGAUUUAUGGAGCAAAGAGCUAGCUUCGAAGAUGAACCUUUGUGUGCCAGUGAAAGGGAUGGAGUGGCAUCAGGUGGUAAGAAUGUUAGCCCCAGAUACAAAGGUGAUGGCGGGACACACAGCCUGAUCGAUCUUGGAGACUGAGGAAUGUAAUGUGACCAUGUAAUCGAACACGCCUUAGGAAGAGUACCACUAGUUUUAGAAAAUCAAAGAUUUUGACUAGCUGGUCGAAGGAGCGAUGCGUGUGUUCGUCCUUGUCCUGAGGUCUGUUCACUGUCGCUUCCAGGAAGCCAUUGGUGAGGAUAUUGCCGACAGUAAGCGUGACCGGCAGUGGGGUGCUACCGCCAAGGGUUGCCGCAUUCUCAUCCAGAGGUCCCAGCGCCACUUUUCCCGGCAUUAUAAAGGUAACUCUCCAUUUUUUCUAUGCAUCAAAUAGUGCUAUGUUCAGAAGUAUAUAUCUGUGAUCACCAACUUCUUAUUUUGUGAAAAAAAUUCUAAUAAUAUGAAAAUAUGGUCUGAAAAUUAUAUAAAUUGGUAAGGAGUCAUUUUGUGAGUCUACAGACGUGAUAUAAAAGUUUCAAUAUGUUUUACAAAAAUUAGACUCUACAUUAUUCAUAAAUAUAUACUUCGCUAACAAUGUUUCAUAUAACUCAAGUCACACUUUAAACUUGUCAACUAACUUAGCAAAAACAACUAUCAUAUAUAUCCUAAUAUAAUUUUUACAUGUAUAAUACUAUAUAUAUAUAUACACACACACGGUUGUAGAAGAUUCAAUAACUUUAAACUAAUUUAAUUGUCUAAAAAAUAAAAAAAGAGAAAAAUGUAUAUAGAUUUGUGCUGGCGGGCGAUAAUAUCACCCGUCAGCACAGACACAUCACCCACCAGCACGAAAGAUCAAAGAAAUUUGUAUUCCUCCACUUAAAUUUAAAAAAAUAUCGGUGUGUUUUCUCUAAGAAGAGGCUAAAUUGUCAACAAUAUGUGCAAGCAAACUUUCAACCUAAAAAUGUUACUAUAAACAAAUCAACUUUGAGUAUUUUAUGCAUGAAAUUUUACCUUUAUAAUGGAUAGAUAGACCAUCCAAAGUUGAGUAAAAUUUGUUACUAAGCGACCAGUAUCCGUAAAACAAAUGGUAAGCAUCACCUUUAUAAUGACUUUACUGUUUGCAGUUUGGGGCUAGCUAUCCUUCUUUUUCUCUAUCUAUUUUUGAGGUGAGCAAGCAUCAAAUAUUCUAGAUAUGGACGAGCUAUCUUCAAGCAAGUUGCCCUUGCACUGAUAUGGAAUCUGCGCGCGGGAUGGCCACUCUAUCAUGAUCCAUGCAUUUCUCCCAAACCACACGUGAACCACUGAAAUUUUGAAGGAACAAAACCUUUAGCAUAUAUUAGUGUGGUGCACUUCUCUCUUUUUUGCCUUUCUCUCCCCCUCUUUGCUUUGUUAGAUAAAUGGAGGAAUCACCCUUUACUCCUUUAGUUGACUGAUGAAGUGAACGCGAAGGUGACACGGCGACUAUGGGUGCAAUGGAUGAUGCCUGACAGUGAACCAUAUCUCACUAAUCUUUUGUGGUUGUGAUAUUAAAAAGGUGG